GACAGAGGUGCCGAGCGUUAGGCGGAAUCACUGGGCUUAAAGCGUGUGUAGGCGGAUUGGUAAGUCCCUUGUGAAAUCCCACGGCUUAACCGUGGAACUGCUUGGUAUACUGCUUAUCUUGGGCCACUUAGGGGCUACCGGAACAAACGGUGGAGCGGUGAAAUGCGUAGAUAUCGUUUGGAACGCCAAUGGUGAAAACAGGUAGCUGGGAGUGUGCCGACGCUGAGACACGAAAGCCAGGGGAGCGAACGGG
RNAcentral lists this ribosomal RNA (253 nucleotides) under uncultured bacterium. Its description in RNAcentral is "partial 16S ribosomal RNA". It matches the Rfam family "Bacterial small subunit ribosomal RNA", at positions 524 to 776 of the family's 1533-position model. The record is from RNAcentral.